GACGAACGCUGGCGGCGUGCCUAAUACAUGCAAGUAGAACGCUGAAGGAGGAGCUUGCUUCUCUGGAUGAGUUGCGAACGGGUGAGUAACGCGUAGGUAACCUGCCUGGUAGCGGGGGAUAACUAUUGGAAACGAUAGCUAAUACCGCAUAACAGCAGAUAUCGCAUGAUAUCUACUUGAAAGGUGCAAUUGCAUCACUACCAGAUGGACCUGCGUUGUAUUAGCUAGUUGGUGAGGUAACGGCUCACCAAGGCGACGAUACAUAGCCGACCUGAGAGGGUGAUCGGCCACACUGGGACUGAGACACGGCCCAGACUCCUACGGGAGGCAGCAGUAGGGAAUCUUCGGCAAUGGACGGAAGUCUGACCGAGCAACGCCGCGGGAGUGAAGAAGGGUUUCGGAUCGUAAAGCUCGGUUGUAAGAGAAGAACGAGUGUGAGAGUGGAAAGUUCACACUGUGACGGUAUCUUACCAGAAAGGGACGGCUAACUACGUG
This 495-nucleotide ribosomal RNA is filed under the name uncultured bacterium. RNAcentral describes it as "partial 16S ribosomal RNA". It matches the Rfam family "Bacterial small subunit ribosomal RNA", at positions 28 to 507 of the family's 1533-position model. The record is from RNAcentral.